UGCUAUCUAGAAAGACCUUUACUGCCUUAAUCUUCAUCUGAAUAUUAUAGUCAAGUGUUCUCCCCAAGGUGCUAUCUAGAAAGACCUUUACUGCCUUAAUCUUUAUCUGAAUAUUAUAGUCAGUUUUCUCCCCAAGGUGACAUCUAGAAAGACUUUUACUGCCUUAAUCUUUAUCUGAAUAUACUAGUCAGUGUUCUCCCCAAGGUGCUAUCUAGAAAGACUUUUACUGCCUUUAUCUUUAUCUGAAUGUUAUAGUCAGUGUUCUCCCCAAGGUGCUAUCUAGAAAGACUUUUACUGCCUUAAUCUUCAUCUGAAUAUUAUAGUUAGUGUUCUCCCCAAGGUGCUAUCUAGUGUUCUCCCCAAGGUGCUAUCUAGAAAGACUUUUACUGCCUUAAUCUCCAUCUGAAUAUUAUAGUUAGUGUUCUCCCCAAGGUGUUAUCUAGAAAGACCUUUACUGCCUUAAUCUUUAUCUGAAUAUUAUAGUCAGUGUUCUCCCCAAGGUGUUAUCUAGAAAUACCUUUACUGCCUUCAUCUUCAUCUAAAUAUUAUAGUCAAUGUUCUCCCCAAGGUGCUAUCUAGAAAGACCUUUACUGCCUUAAUCUCCAUCUGAAUAUUAUAGUGAGUGUUCUCUCCAAGGUGUUAUCUAGAAAGACCUUUACUUCCUUAAUCUUCAUCUGAAUAUUAUAGUCAAUGUUCUCCCCAAGGUGUUAUCUAGAAAGACCUUUACUGCCUUAAUCUUCAUCUGAAUAUUAUAGUCAGUGUUCUCCCCAAGGUGUUAUAUAGAAAGACUUUUACUGCCUUAAUCUUUAUCUGAAUAUACUAGUCAGUGUUCUCCCCAAGGUGCUAUCUAGAAAGACCUUUACUGCCUUAAUCCUUAUCUAAAUAUUAUAGUGAGUGUUCUCCCCCAAGGUGCUAUCUAGAAAGACCUUUACUGCCUUAAUCUUUAUCUGAAUAUUAUAGUCAGUGUUCUCCCCAAGGUGCUAUCUAGAAAGACCUUUACUGCCUUAAUCUUUAUCUGAAUAUUAUAAUCAGUGUUCUCCCCCAAGGUGUUAUCUAGAAAGACCUUUACUGCCUUAAUCUUUAUCUGCAUAUUAAAGUCAGUGUUCUCCCCAAGGUGUUAUCUAGAAAGACCUUUACUGCCUUAAUCUUUAUCUGAAUAUUAUAGUCAGUGUUCACCCCAAGGUGUUAUCUAGAAAGACCUUUACUGCCUUAAUCUUUAUCUGAAUAUUAUAGUCAGUGUUCUCCCCAAGGUGCUAUCUAGAAAGACUUUUACUGCCUUAAUCUUUAUCUGAAUAUUAUAGUCAGUGUUCUCCCCAAGGUGCUAUCUAGAAAGACCUGUACUGCCUUAAUCUUUAUCUGAAUAUUAUAGUCAGUGUUCUCCCCCAAGGUGUUAUCUAGAAAGACCUUUACUGCCUUAAUCUUUAUCUGAAUAUUAUAGUGAGUGUUCUCCAAAAGGUACUAUCUAGAAAGACCUUUACUGCCUUGAUCUUUAUCUGAAUAUUAUAGUCAGUGUUCUCCCCAAGGUGUUAUCUAGAAAGACCUUUACUGCCUUAAUCUUUAUCUGAAUAUUAUAGUCAGUUUUCUCCCCAAGGUGCUAUCUAGAAAGACCUUUACUGCCUUAAUCUUCUUCUGAAUAUUAUAGUCAGUGUUCUCCCCAAGGUGCUAUCUAGAAAGACUUUUACUGCCUUAAUCUUUAUCUGAAUAUUAUAGUCAGUAUUCUCCACAAGGUGACAUCUAGAAAGACCUUUACUGCCUUAAUCUUUAUCUGAAUAUUAUAGUCAGUUUUCUCCCCAAGGUGUUAUCUAGAAAGACCUUUACUGCCUUAAUCUUUAUCUGAAUAUUAUAGUCAGUUUUCUCCCCAAGGUGUUAUCUAGAAAGACCUUUACUGCCUUAAUCUUCAUCUGAAUAUUAUAGUCAGUGUUCUCCCCAAGGUGCUAUCUGAACAGAAUAAUAGAAUGUAUUAUAAAUAUGGUGCUAUAAUUUAGGAGUAACAGUGCUAUUGUAAAUCUCUGAAAUACUUGUGGAAAACACUAAUGCUCUUCACUACCUUAAUCUUAACCUGACUAAUUUUUAAAUCACUUAUUUAUUUUUUAAUGAGUCAGGUGUUGGUUGAUGGUGUGGUCCGUCCAAUUUUUUUUACCAUUCCUGUUAUUUUUUUCAAACU
Mytilus californianus (California mussel) is the source of this 2164-nucleotide long non-coding RNA. RefSeq lists it as uncharacterized. NCBI's taxonomy places the organism in Eukaryota, Metazoa, Mollusca, Bivalvia, Mytilida, Mytilidae. The record is from RefSeq and is a predicted model, not a curated record. The transcript has 4 exons.